UGAAACACGAAAGUGGAGACAACGUUUUGGCUCCUCUCUGAGCCUUUAUCAAGUCUUUAUCAGAGAGGAGCUGAAACGUUGUCUCCACUUUCUUGUUUC
Pelobates cultripes (western spadefoot toad) is the source of this 99-nucleotide non-coding RNA. Lineage: Eukaryota; Metazoa; Chordata; Amphibia; Anura; Pelobatidae. The record is from the annotation of a GenBank genome assembly.